GGUAUUUAGUCCAUUCCGAAGUUGUAGUUUGUUUUGACAUUUCCGUUUUAUUUAACCUAACCUAUGUUUUGUGUUUUAUUGUGUUGUAUACAAGGAGUUGUAUAUUGAAAUUGAAUUGAUUCUUGUUUCAUUGAAUAUAGAGGAGUUGUUCUGUUGCAAGUUGUUCUAGUUUUGUUGUUUUAAAAUCUGCGAAAAACUAUUUAUAGAUAAUGGUGAACUUAAACAAGAAAUGGACAUGCAGUUUGCUGAUUACUUAAUUGUGUACUCACAACACAUAGGAUUUCUCUGACACAGUUUCCAGUACAGAACUGCCACAGGAAUCUCCAGUGGAGUUGCAACCGCUCUCACGGACGUCCACAAAUCAAGUUACAAAACUGUUACAUGACUCUAUUGGAGUUGCAACCGCAAUUGGAUAAAAGUGAAAUUCGAAUAAUGCCAGAAAGACUAUAACCGUCCAAAGUGAUAGUGUGAAAUUAAAAUCAAAUGAUUACGUAUAAAUCAUAUUUAUAAUAAUUAUAAAUAGUAGCUGUAUUUUUUAAAUAAACAGAUUUGAUAAGUUA
This 560-nucleotide long non-coding RNA is filed under the name Diabrotica virgifera virgifera (western corn rootworm). RNAcentral's name for it is "uncharacterized LOC126882314". The record is from RNAcentral. Lineage: Eukaryota; Metazoa; Arthropoda; Insecta; Coleoptera; Chrysomelidae.